GAUGAAGAACGCAGCGAAAUGCGAUAAGUAAUGUGAAUUGCAGAAUUCAGUGAAUCAUCGAAUCUUUGAACGCACAUUGCGCCCGCCAGUAUUCUGGCGGGCAUGCCUGUUCGAGCGUCAUUUCAACCAUCAAGCCCCCGGCUUGUGUUGGGGACCUGCGGCUGCCGCAGGCCCUGAAAACCAGUGGCGGGCUCGCUAGUCACUCGGAGCGUAGUAAUACAUCUCGCUCAGGGCGUGCUGCGGGUUCCGGCUGUUAAAAAGCCUUAUUUACCCAAGGUUGACCUCGGAUCAGGUAGGAAGACCCGCUGAACUUAAGCAUAUCAAUAAGCGGAGGA
RNAcentral lists this unclassified non-coding RNA (335 nucleotides) under soil metagenome. RNAcentral's name for it is "partial contains 5.8S ribosomal RNA, internal transcribed spacer 2, and large subunit ribosomal RNA". The stretch from base 1 to 120 matches the Rfam family "5.8S ribosomal RNA", at positions 35 to 154 of the family's 154-position model. The record is from RNAcentral.